GGGUCCGUAGCUCAGUUGGUUAGAGUACUACCUUGACAUGGUAGGGGUCGGCGAUUCGAGUUCGCCCGGACCCA
Molecule: transfer RNA, 74 nt
Organism: Photobacterium gaetbulicola Gung47
Lineage: Bacteria; Pseudomonadati; Pseudomonadota; Gammaproteobacteria; Vibrionales; Vibrionaceae
Rfam family: tRNA
About the family: Transfer RNA (tRNA) molecules are approximately 80 nucleotides in length. Their secondary structure includes four short double-helical elements and three loops (D, anti-codon, and T loops).
Source: Rfam